GCUCUCGUAGCUUAACGGAUAGAGUACUGGCCUCCGAAGCCGGUGAUACCAGUUCAAUUCUGGUCGAGAGCA
RNAcentral lists this transfer RNA (72 nucleotides) under Bacteroidetes bacterium RIFCSPHIGHO2_02_FULL_44_7. Its description in RNAcentral is "tRNA-Arg". It matches the Rfam family "tRNA". Rfam says of the family: Transfer RNA (tRNA) molecules are approximately 80 nucleotides in length. The record is from RNAcentral. Lineage: Bacteria; Pseudomonadati; Bacteroidota.